UCCCUAGUGGCUCAGAUGGUAAAGAAUCUGCUUGCAAUGCAGAAAACCCAGGUUCAAUCCCUGAGUCAGGAA
Molecule: transfer RNA, 72 nt
Filed under: Bos taurus (domestic cattle)
Lineage: Eukaryota; Metazoa; Chordata; Mammalia; Artiodactyla; Bovidae
Also listed under: 3 other names
Rfam family: tRNA
About the family: Transfer RNA (tRNA) molecules are approximately 80 nucleotides in length. Their secondary structure includes four short double-helical elements and three loops (D, anti-codon, and T loops). Further hydrogen bonds mediate the characteristic L-shaped molecular structure. tRNAs have two regions of fundamental functional importance: the anti-codon, which is responsible for specific mRNA codon recognition, and the 3' end, to which the tRNAs corresponding amino acid is attached (by aminoacyl-tRNA synthetases). tRNAs cope with the degeneracy of the genetic code in two manners: having more than one tRNA (with a specific anti-codon) for a particular amino acid; and 'wobble' base-pairing, i.e. permitting non-standard base-pairing at the 3rd anti-codon position.
Source: Rfam by way of RNAcentral